RNAcentral lists this ribosomal RNA (552 nucleotides) under uncultured bacterium. Its description in RNAcentral is "bacterial SSU rRNA". It matches the Rfam family "Bacterial small subunit ribosomal RNA", at positions 777 to 1330 of the family's 1533-position model. The record is from RNAcentral.
AAUAGAUACCCAGGUAGUCCACGCCCUAAACUAUGUCAACUAGUUGUCGGGGAAGAAAUUCCUUGGUAACGCAGCUAACGCGUGAAGUUGACCGCCUGGGGAGUACGGCCGCAAGGUUAAAACUCAAAGGAAUUGACGGGGACCCGCACAAGCGGUGGAUUAUGUGGAUUAAUUCGAUGCAACGCGAAAAACCUUACCUACCCUUGACAUGUACGGAAUUCCGCAGAGAUGUGGAAGUGCCCGAAAGGGAACCGUAACACAGGUGCUGCAUGGCUGUCGUCAGCUCGUGUCGUGAGAUGUUGGGUUAAGUCCCACAACGAGCGCAACCCUUGCCAUUAGUUGCUACAUUCAGUUGGGCACUCUAAUGGGACCGCCGGUGACAAACCGGAGGAAGGUGGGGAUGACGUCAAGUCCUCAUGGCCCUUAUGGGUAGGGCUUCACACGUAAUACAAUGGUCGGUACAGAGGGCUGCCAACCCGCAAGGGGGAGCUAAUCCCAGAAAGCCGAUCGUAGUCCGGAUUGUAGUCUGCAACUCAACUGCAUGAAGCCGGU